Molecule: long non-coding RNA, 238 nt
Filed under: Gouania willdenowi (blunt-snouted clingfish)
Lineage: Eukaryota; Metazoa; Chordata; Actinopteri; Blenniiformes; Gobiesocidae
Description: lncRNA (ENSGWIG00000012782.1)
Source: RNAcentral
AGCAGAGGGUGAUGUAGGAGCAUGUGUUGGAGAUUGAUCCCGGUGUCAGAGGACUUCUGUUCAGGAUACAGGUCACCUACGCCCUGCCGGCUCCCUGGGGUGAGAGUGGGGACACCUGAUCUGGGCACCUGUCAGGCAUGGUUAACUCUUUCCACACCCGAGGGCCCGCAGACGGGUCACAGACAUGCUGGACCUCCAGGUAAACGUGGACGAAUGGGACGAAGAGGGGAACCCGGUA